Cyprinus carpio carpio is the source of this 867-nucleotide long non-coding RNA. NCBI's taxonomy places the organism in Eukaryota, Metazoa, Chordata, Actinopteri, Cypriniformes, Cyprinidae. The record is from Ensembl.
AUAAAUGGAAGAGAAGCGAAGGAGGAUGAGCUUUGUCUCUGAAUAUGCAAGACACUAAUGUUGUGCUCUUUACUUAUUGCAGAGACCAGCGGCUGACAAUAGGCACUCCCUAGACGUUCACCGUGAUUCACCCUUCCCUCUCAAAGACUGCACAGAGCAUGCCCUCAAACUAAAGCAACUGCUCUCUCGCUGAAGAAGCCCGGAAUGGAGGAAAUCAUCCAACGUCUGACUGAAAUCACCACCCACCAGCACCAGUUUGUGGAACAGCUGGCUUCUCGCCAGGAAUGGAUGGAGCAGACAGUGGAGAUGUUGCUGGCAGCUGCACGAGUACCAUUGCCUGAUCCCAGCGCAUCGGCACACCAUCUCACAAUACUCAGUGACCAGGAUGAUAUUGAAGUUUACCUGCACACGUUUGAAGUGGUUGCCACCGGAGAGAAUUGGGACAGAUGAGAAGGGGCUAUGUCUUAGCUGCCUUUCUGACCUGGGAAGCAUAAUGGGCCUAUUUCGCAUUAACCCUUCCCGAGAAUGAAGACUACAGUGGGGUCAAGCGUGAAAUCCUUGCCUGGCUUGGACUGUCUCCCAUCUGUGCCACCCAACAGUUUUGGAUAUGAAGAAAACGUGCCAGUUAGGGUAUAGGAACCCAUUUGGAAUAAGGAACCCGAACAGCCUGGCUGAGCUCGUAGAAGCAGUCGAGCUUGCAGAAGUGGCAUUCGCUAGAGAUGCUGGAGAGAGAGCGGUAUCCAACCCCCGGAGGGCAACCCCUGUUUGGCGAUCAUCGGAGAGCACCUCAAGACCAGUAAAAAGACCUAGCGGCCCCUUCCCUGGCCGACGAGCCCAUGCCCAUGGAACCCGCCUCAGCGGCAGCAC